RNAcentral lists this transfer RNA (71 nucleotides) under Loxodonta africana (African savanna elephant). It matches the Rfam family "tRNA". Rfam says of the family: Transfer RNA (tRNA) molecules are approximately 80 nucleotides in length. Their secondary structure includes four short double-helical elements and three loops (D, anti-codon, and T loops). The record is from Rfam by way of RNAcentral. Lineage: Eukaryota; Metazoa; Chordata; Mammalia; Proboscidea; Elephantidae.
GCAGUGGUGGUUCAGGGGUAGAAUUCUCACCUUCCGUGAGGGAGACCUGGGUUCAAUUCCCAGCCAGUGCA